RNAcentral lists this ribosomal RNA (468 nucleotides) under uncultured bacterium. RNAcentral describes it as "partial 16S ribosomal RNA". It matches the Rfam family "Bacterial small subunit ribosomal RNA", at positions 28 to 507 of the family's 1533-position model. The record is from RNAcentral.
GACGAACGCUGGCGGCGUGCUUAUCACAUGCAAGUCGAACGGAAAGGCCCUGCUUUUGUGGGGUGCUCGAGUGGCGAACGGGUGAGUAACACGUGAGUAACCUGCCCUUGACUUUGGGAUAACUUCAGGAAACUGGGGCUAAUACCGGAUAGGAGCUCCUGCUGCAUGGUGGGGGUUAGAAAGUUUCGGCGGUUGGGGAUGGACUCGCGGCUUAUCAGCUUGUUGGUGGGGUAGUGGCUUACCAAGGCUUUGACGGGUAGCCGGCCUGAGAGGGUGACCGGCCACAUUGGGACUGAGAUACGGCCCAGACUCCUACGGGAGGCAGCAGUGGGGAAUAUUGCACAAUGGGCGGAAGCCUGAUGCAGCAACGCCGCGUGCGGGAUGACGGCCUUCGGGUUGUAAACCGCUUUCGCCUGUGACGAAGCGUGAGUGACGGUAAUGGGUAAAGAAGCACCGGCUAACUACGUG